Long non-coding RNA from Pezoporus occidentalis (night parrot), 1810 nucleotides. RefSeq lists it as uncharacterized. The record is from RefSeq and is a predicted model, not a curated record. Lineage: Eukaryota; Metazoa; Chordata; Aves; Psittaciformes; Psittacidae. The transcript is spliced from 2 exons.
CUCAAAGACAUUGGAAGAAUCAGGUAGGCUAGAAUAUUACAAGAAUACCAAAGCAAUGAAAUAAGAUUAAAUUGAAAUGGGAAAUUAGUUUGACUUAGUCCCUUUAAGGGUCUAAAUUCUGCUAAUAUUACAUGGCAUUCAUGAAGUUCAGUAGCAAACAGAGAUUGAAAGGAUGGCACAUAAGGACAGAUUUUGAAAUUUCAGAUGCUGCUGAACUUGAAAUUACAAAAGAGGUACGUUUUUCCAUGAAACUAGUUUGGCUAAGGUUGUGGGUGCUUGGUAACUUAUCCCCGUAACUGACUUUGUGUAGCUGUAUUUUUUUGCUAGAGGCUGAGGCAAACUUGAGAGCUCUGCCUGGUGUGGAUUCCCUGUUGACAGACAUUACGGGAUCGCUCAGAUGGUCCUUCCUACUGGGGACACCUCAGUUUUCUUUUUCUUCUUUCCUGAUGGCUAUUGACAUGAAAUUUGUAGGAUAAUAAUUUCUUCCAAGGCCCCUGCCUUUGUUGCCUUUGGUUAAAGUUGGCUGAUACGUUUUAAAGAUACCAAGUGAACUUGGAGACAAACUUAGAGGACAAAAGCUGGGCUGAAAAUAGUUACAAAACUGAGGUCCACUAUGAAGGCAGAAGUACCGGUCCAAGUAAUUUAUCUUGUUAAACAAUGCACAAUUUUUUCCUAUAUUCUGAACUGAUGUUCAGACUAGACUGUAGAUAACACAUUUUUAAGUUCACCAUUUGGCAUUAAAUGCUACUCGCAGCAUACAUUGAAACCAGCAGGUUUGGUUACUGGUUUUUCCAUCUGAAAGUUCAAAAUUCUAUUACAUCCUGGAGUCAAUGAAUUCUGGGAGUAGUUCAAACAUGUCUGCUGCAUGCAUCUCUGUAGCUUAGAUGUUCGUCUUUGGAGUUUAAUUAGAUGAGAUGAAGGAUUCCUACUCCUAAGAACUCUGGUUUGGCCAUUUUUUGUUUCUUUUAAACAAAACAGUUUCCUUGCUCCCACUUAACAGAUCAAGAGGAGAGUUACUCUGGUUGCUCUGCUGACAGCUCAUCGUUUUCUAAAUGGAGUUUCUUCUACACGGAGCCAGUCAAAACUGCUGAGGCUUUGCAUGAAGACAGAGGUUUGGUAGCUUAAAGAUCUGCCUUUUCUUGCUUUCUUACUUCAUCUCCUAUCAUUAGGCAAAGCUAUUAACAAAUAGGUGGGACAAGAAAGAUAAUUCAUCAAAUCAAGCAAAGAUGGAUUACAAGAUACUGUUUACCUUAAAAUAAGCUGGGACCAUCAUACUUCUUUACACAAGAUGUCAGAGCUCCAGCAAAAAUCUGGGAAGAGAACACAGGAUUUCCACAGCUGUUUUCUUCUUGUGGAGCAGAGGAAGAUGCACUUGAGAAAAUGAUACUGCAGAAAAGGAUGUGAGUAAUUCUGGUUUCAUAUCUGGUCUGAGUCGGUGUAUCUCAGCUGCCUUUUGAGGGAUGCUCCACACUCUUCCUCUAGAAUAGAUGCAGCCUUGUCAGGCAUAGACCCCGUGCUAUGCAAUGUCAAGCCACCUGCUAAAGCAGGGGGAUCUGAGAGGAAGCAAGCACACCCCAGAGUUUGGGGGUCACCAUGCUGCAUUGGUGUACAGACAGGAUACCCAUGGGCUGCCUGUGAGCAUUUCUGCGGGUGUCACAUGGGCUGCUUGAGAGGCUAACAUCUGCAUGAGGGACAGGUACAGCCUGACUCAGGUUGUGCUCUGGUGUACAGCGGGAGGCUGUUACAACUGCUAAUUUCUGUUGUGCUUCUAUAAAAAUAUAAUAUACUCAAAUAAAAGCAUGGAACUUAG